UUUAAAUGUAAGUUUAAAUACUAGAUUAGUAUUAGUUAUGUUCUUGAAAAUUAAAAAAUUUGGCGGUUUUUUAGUCUAUUCAGAGGAACCUGUUCUAUAAUUGAUAAUCCACGAUUAAAAUAACUUAUUUUAUUAAUUUGUAUAUCGUCGUAGAUUGAAUAUUUUAUUAGAAAAAAAAUGUUCAAAAUUUAUAAUUAUAAAAUAAAUCAGAUCAAGGUGCAGUUUAUAAAUAAGGAGAAAUGGGUUACAAUAAAUAUAUUUAUGGAUAUUAAAAUUAAAAUUUAAUUGAAAUUGGAUUUGACUGUAAUUUUAAUAAUUUAAUUAAGAUGAUUUAGCUCUAAAAUAUGU
RNAcentral lists this ribosomal RNA (348 nucleotides) under Uleiota dubius. Its description in RNAcentral is "partial 12S ribosomal RNA". The record is from RNAcentral. Lineage: Eukaryota; Metazoa; Arthropoda; Insecta; Coleoptera; Silvanidae. RNAcentral also lists the same sequence under 1 other name.